CAGGCUGGGAAGGCUCAACUGUUUUGUUUACUUAAAAUUUCUCAUAAUUUAUGAGAUUAAGUUCAAGUAUAGUAGGCUUUGAGUAUCUAUAGUUAAUGAGGAGAGAAAAAAGUAGAACCAACAAAAUCUAGUUUGCUGAGAUAUAAAAAAUAAAAUCUACAGUCAACCUACAGACAUUCAAUCUACAGCCAACUUGGGGGUUAAAAAAACAAAACAACUUUCUUUUAAAAAGCACUUACCAAUCUCUAAGCUUGAACUGGGCUAUAACGAACCAAAACAUUAUGGGCAACAAGGCAGAGCUAAGACAUUUAAAAAGGCCAAUGGCUCAGAUCAUCGGCAUCUACCUCAAAUUUGUAUGUAUGCUGGCACAAGACUUCUACAAUUUACUCAUCAAAUGCUUAGGCAACUCAUCAUACAAGAAAGGGGAAAACAAAAAACCUGGAUGUAUAUACAACAAUAGGAUAAUGAUUUUCUCCUGCACUGAAAAUUCACUGUUUUACUAUUUUCAAAGUUUGAAAAAGUAAGACUUUUGGUACACAAUAGUGAAAACAAAAUAAUAUGAACAGUUGGUCAAAUGCCCUUCAAUGUCUUGUAGUAUCUUCCAUUAGCACUCUACAGUUCUAUGCCCAAAUUUCAUUAAAAUUGAUUUUGUCACAAUGGACUAAAUGAGUUCACUGAAAAUGUUCUAAAUGUGAGCAACAACUAGUAUAUAAAAGGAAUGUAUUUUUUAAAAGAGGUCAUUCAUAGUAACAUAAAAACCAUAAGGCACCUCAAAACACAUUAGGAAAAAAGAUCCUUAGAGAAACUAUAAAACUUUACCAAAGGAAUAAAAGACAAAUAAAUGGAGGUAUAACGUAUUUAUGGGUGAUAAAACUCAAUAACGAUUUUCCCUAAUUUCACCUAUAAAUUCAAGGCACUCAUAAACAAAAUCCAAAAUUGUGUGCUCUGUUUUGGAAAUAUGGAUGACUAAAGUGGCAAGAACAGAAAAACAGUUUUGAAGAAUAACAACAAGAGGGAUUUAUAAAGUUAGAAUUAUUAAAACUAUGCUAUUGAUUCAGAUAAGGCAAAUACGUAAAUGGAAUAAAAGAGAAGGUAAUAAACAAACUGCAUAUACAUGAACUAGGUAUAUGAAACCGGCAUUAUGAAAACAGAAAGGGGACAAUGAAUGGUGCUAAGACAACUGACUACCCAAAUGGAAAUAUCUAUACCUCACACCAUAUAUAAAAAUCAGUUCCAAAGGGGCUAAAAAAAUAAAUGUAAAGGAAUAAAACUUAGAUACUUCAUGAAAAAAUAUCAGACCUCAGUGAUAUCUAUAAGGAAAAAUGUAUUAAGCUAUGAAAAAAAAAAAAAGCUAUCAAAAAGGAAAGAUCUAGCCGGGCACAGUGGCAUGUGCCUGUAGACCCAGCUACACAGAAUGCUGAGGUCAAAGGAUCUCUUGAGCUGAGGAGUCCAGCCUGGGUAACACAGCAAGACCCUAUCUCUAAAAAUAAUCAACUAAUUUUAAAAAGAAAGAUAAAUACAUCUAAACAUUAACAUUAAAAACUUUCAUAUGAUCUGGGCGUGAUGCCUCAUGCCUGUAAUCCCAGGAAUACUUUGGAAGGCUGAGGCAAGUGGAUCCCUUGAGCCUAGGGGGUUGAGGCCAGACUGGGCAACAUGGCAAAACCCGGUCUCUACAGAAAAAUACAAAAAUUAGUGGGGUGUGGUGGCAUGCAGCUGUGAUCCCAGCUACUUGGAAGGCUGAGGUGGGAGGAUUAGCUAAGCCCAGGAAGGCCAAGGCUGCAGUAAGCCUUGAUCUGCCACUGCAUUCCAGCCUAGGCGACAUAGUGAGACUCUAUCUCAAGACAAAACAAAACAACAACCAAAAAACCCCACAAAACUUCUACGUGAUAAACACUCCACAUGAAGAAAAUAAAAAAGAAGGUACUGGGAGAUCACUGGAAUCCAUAUAACCAGGAAGGAUUAGUACCCAGAAUGCAUAAUGAACACUAAUCAGUACAGAAUAUAAAACAAUUGAAAAAUUGUGGUGGUGGUGGUGAACUAAAAUGCUAAAGUCCAACUGUAUAAUAACUAUUUGAAAAGAUAUUUAAACUAAUUGACAAUCAAGAAAAUGCAAAUACAAAAUGUUUCAUAUCCAUGUAAUUGGAAAAAUGUUCACCAGUCUGAUAACCUAAAGAUAAAGGAAAAUGGGAAAUCCUAAAUAUUGUGAUUAGAAAUGUAAAUGGGUGUAUGCACGUUGAAGAGCAGUUAGGCACAAGCACGUAAAUAUACCGUAUGGGCCAUGACUUCCACUUACAGGAUAUGCUAUGCACAGGUGUGUGUGUGUAUGUGUGUGUGUGUGUAUAUAUAUAUAGAGAGAGAGAGAGAGAGACAGACACACACAGAGAAGCGUUAGAGAAACUUUCAUUCAUGUGCACAAGAAAACGUGGAUGGAUGUUCCAGCAAUGUUGUACAUUUUUAAAUCCCCCAAUAGGAAAAUAAAUUUGAAAAUUAAUAUAUUCAUAUUAUGAAUAUAUUAUUAAUGAAUAUAUUAAUAUAUUCAUAUAAUGCUCUGGAAUAGUCUAAAUAAAUAAUCAUUCUAGAGGUACAAGUAUUAAUGUGAUAUUUCAAAGAAGUGGUAAAAAACACUAGCUUGAAAAGACAUACAAUAGAAGAUUCACAACAGCAUGAUUAAUUACAAUUUUACCACAGAAAAUAGUAGUAUAUAUCAUUUAUCAUGGGAAUGACAGGCACUCUCUUCAGGAUUGCUAUAGCCUCUAGGAAGGAAGAGGAAAAUGGAGGUGAACACUUUAUCUGUAUCUAUAACAUUUUAUCAGGUAAAAAUAGGAAGGAAGAGAUUCACAACAGUGUGGCAACAUGUUCUUAUCAAUUAAAUCUGAGCAGUAGAUAUAUGAGUGUUAUAUUAUUUUCUGUUUGAAAUGUAUAAUUAUUAAAAGUGAAAAUGAACAAAUACUAACUUGAAUAUACAUGGAAAUGAUAUUAUUUAGAUUUAGAUUCACUUUCAUCAACUCUGUAACUGUUGUUCAGUUUUAAAAAGUUUAGUUGGGUGAGGCCGGGCAUGGUGGCUCACACCUGUAAUCCCAGCACUUUGGGAGGCCAAGGCGGGUGGAUGACCUGAGGUCAGGAGUCUGGGACCAGCCUGGCCAACAUGGUGAAACUCCAUCUCUACUAAAAAUACCAAAACUAGCCGGGUGUGGUGGCAGGCACCUAUAAUCCCAGCUACUCAUGGGGCUGAGGCAGGAGAAUCGCUUGAACCCAGGAGGUGGAGGUUGCAGUUAGCCGAGAUCGUGCCAUCGCACUCCAGCCUGGGGCACAAGAGCGAGACUUCAUCUCAAAAAAUAAAAAUAAAAAUGAAAAAUAAAGUUUAGCUGGGUGUAUGAUUAGUGUCUUCCCACAAACACAAAGUUAAACUAAAAUUUAGGAAAGAGUUUUUAAGGCAUAUAUAUCAUAGUUACAGAAUAUAUCCAACAUAGGCAUAUAUUCAUAAAGACAGCAAAUAUGGGAGUAGAGGUAAGGAAGUAAUAAUAAAAAUUAAAGCAGAACAUUUUUACUUAAUUUUUAUUUUUUUUUUUUGAGACAGGGUCUCACUCUGUUGCCCGGGCUGGAGUGCCGUGGUGUGAUCUUGGCUCACUACAACCUCCACUUCUGGGUUCAAGCAAUUCUCCUGCCUCAGCCUCCCGAGUAGCUGAGACUACAGACAUGUCACCACACCUGGCUAAUUUUUGUAUUUUUAGGAGAGAUGGGGUUUCACCAUGUUGACCAGCUGGUCUUGAACUCCUGACCUCAAGAGAACUGCCCGCCUUGGCCUCCCAAAGUGCUGGGAUUACAGGCAUGAGCCACCAUGUGCAGCCUAAAAUUUUAUUAGAAGGCUCAUGGUGGCUCAUGCCUGUAAUCCCAGCACUUUGGGAGGCUGAGGUGGGAGGAUCCCUUGGGCCCAGGAGUUCAAGGCCAGCCCAGGCAACAUAGAAAGAUCCCGUUUCUAUUUAAAGAAAAACAAAAAUAAAUAUUAAAAAAUUUUAUUAAAAUGUAAUGUAAGAUUCAGGCUUAAUAAUCAUUUGUUCAACUAGCAAAAAUCUGCAACCACAUUACAAAGGGUUUAGUUUUUUAGUCUAUAAAGAGCUGCUAGAAAUCAAAGACAAUGAAUAACCCAGUUGAAAAUAAUGGAAAAAACAUGAUCAAACAGUUCACAGAAAAAUUAACAAGUGUGCUUAAAUAUAUAAAAAAAGAUUCCUAAUGUCAUUCAUAAGAAAAUGCAAAUUUAAAACUAUGCUGAAAUACCAUUUAUCACUAAUGGAUUGAACUGUGCGGUAAAAUAUUACUUUAUAUUGUCAGCAGUAGUGUAAAAUGGAAGAAGCACAAUGCUUUUAUUCAUAAAGAAGCUAGGAAGAAAUAAAAACUAAUAAAAAUUGUUACCAGCAGGAGAGGAACAAAGUUUCUCAGUGUAUACCUUUAUACAAGGUUUGAGGUUUUUUCUGAACUGUAUGCAUGUAUGAAGUAAUUUAAAAAUCUUCAAAGUAAGUGAUGAAAAUUAAUUUGUGAAAUGAACCAUGGUGGCGGACACCUACACAAAGAGAAAUACACCAUAACAACUUAUUAUGUGUGCACUACAACCAACAAAGAUCCGAUAACUGAGAGGGGUGAGUUCAGUGACUGCUAUUAAAAAAGUAUAGUACAUAGAGCAAAAAACUAAAACAUUGAGAAGAUUUAAAAAAUUGAAAGCAACAGACUGUUUUCUCCACUUCUAAGAAUCUCUGAAACACCAUACAUACUACCUGAAAAGGUAAUGUAGUUGUAAGUUUCUUUCUCAUAAAUUAUUGCAUUCAGCCAUAAAAUCUGGUCCUUUGACUUUUACUGCUCACAUAUAGCUCCUUCGGAGACAACUAUUUUGAAAAAUAAAAUCUGUCAUUUAUCUAAAUAAAUACAUCUUAAACAUUCACAUCUGAUAUCUGCAAAACCGUUGGAAAAAAACAAAAGAAUACAAUAAUAAAUAAUAAAACAAAUGAUCAAAAUCCAUUUCAAAAUUCCAGUCUCCAUAAAGAUAUAACUUCCAUUAGUUUCUAUCUUAUUUUAAAACCAAUAAUUCAAUUAAUGCCACAAGAGGAAUGACAACCAAAUGGUGAGGCAGAGUGUAUAGGCAAAUGCUUCUACCUAAAUUUAAGAGCACUUGACCAUUUAAAUAAUGAAGACAUACCUGCGUGUUCCAGAUGUGUACACAUUUGUCAAAAGAACCACUUGCCAGAUAC
RNAcentral lists this long non-coding RNA (5240 nucleotides) under Homo sapiens (human). RNAcentral's name for it is "HSALNT0064497". Lineage: Eukaryota; Metazoa; Chordata; Mammalia; Primates; Hominidae. The record is from RNAcentral.